This 337-nucleotide long non-coding RNA is filed under the name Panax ginseng (ginseng). RNAcentral describes it as "long non-coding RNA (PGIN_LNC006016)". The record is from RNAcentral. Lineage: Eukaryota; Viridiplantae; Streptophyta; Magnoliopsida; Apiales; Araliaceae.
ACUCAAUUUGGAACCCUACUAAAAAUCUUCUUUCCGGUCUAUGUUGGGCCAAGUCCGAGGGCUAUAGAUCGUGGGCUUCUCUGUUAGAUUAGUAGGGGGGGUAAUGAUCUUUGUGUGCUAUGGUUUUGGAAGCUGAUCUUAAAUGGAGGAUCGAUUAGGGGCUCAAGGUAUGGGAUUUUGGAUCUUGAUGAUUUUCUGCUGGUGGUUUGUGCCUGGAAGAAGGCCUCCAUGUGUACAGAUCUAGUUUAUUCGAGCUUAUUGAACAUCUUAUCCAUAAAUUAGAUCUGGUACCGUGCUAUGCUUUUGGACAUCUCGGUUGCAAAACUCUCAAUCAAAU